Long non-coding RNA from Capsicum annuum, 1250 nucleotides. RefSeq lists it as uncharacterized. The record is from RefSeq and is a predicted model, not a curated record. The transcript is spliced from 2 exons. NCBI's taxonomy places the organism in Eukaryota, Viridiplantae, Streptophyta, Magnoliopsida, Solanales, Solanaceae.
UUUCUUUUCAAACCAACAAAGGAAAAACAAAAAUCAGCAACAACAAUCGACCUUCAGCCUUAACACCAGCCAAAUCCUAAUCAACGUCUUCAACAUCGUGAACCAUCAACCCGAAUCAGACCCAAUUUCAACCCACCUGCAUGUUUCCUCAACGGCGAAACCUGUCCAAAUCCAAAAUCGGACUGCUCCGACAGUUGUACCCGAUCCCGUAAUAGACCCGACUUUGACCCGUUGAGUUGGCAUGCGGAAAAGACAAGAAAUCUUCUAGAAACACGCCUAGGUGUCUCCUCCAAGCGUUUAAAUCCCUAAAAAUUUAGAUUAAUCCGUACGAUUUCGUACAUAUUUGGUAAAAUUUCAUUGGUCCUUAGGGUAAUGAUCCACUUCCCCAAUUUCUAUUGGUUGCUAUUCUGAAAUCUGUCGGGGGAAUCUAAAAUUCGGACGUUUUCAAAAGUCCCAAGAAGACCCCUAUUCAUCUCCUAUAUAAGAAGUUUCUUGUUCUUUGAGGAAGGGGGAUUUUUUUUCUGCUUCUUCCCUUUUGGAUUCGAAAAAUCAAGGUGUUUUUUUUGGAGGAUUGGCUCUAGGGUUCUAAGUUUGGGGAUGAAAAAUUUGAAGAAUUUUUUUAGGGUUCUUUGGAGGCUGGAAAUUCUAGGUUUCAAAAUUUUGGGUUUGAAAAAUUGAUUGAGAGGCUGGGGGGUACGUUUUUCUGAGAGAAAUCUUGGUUUGGAAAAAUUGAGAGAGAAGGAAGAAAGGAAAAAGAAAGGAAACUUUUGGAGAAAUAUUAACUCUUUAGUAGAAAUCCUGUUCUUGUUUUGAAACUUGGUCGAAAUCAUCGAAGUAGUAGUGAAGCUCCGGUGGUGAUCAAUAUCCUGACGAUUAACUCGUGGUCCUGUUUUGCUACUCUCCAAAAGAGAUAAUUCAGCAUACAUUGCACAUCUUAAGGAAGGAUUCAUAAAUGGAGAUAAAACGAAGCACAUUUUGCCAAAGUUUUUUUACAUACAUGAGCUACAAAAGAAUGAGGAUAUUAACGUGCAACAGAUUCGUUCAACUGACAAUGUGACUGAUUUAUUCAUCAAAUCUUUUCUAAUUGCAACUUUCAAGAAGAUGUUGUACAAGAUCGAGAUGUAAAGGUCAAGGAUGUUCUCAUUAGGAGGAGUUGAUACGCGCUAUACUCUUUUUUUCCUAUUGAGGUUUUGUCCCAUUGGGUUUCCCUUGUAAGGUUUUUAAUGAGGCAACCGAAAUGCGUAUUAUUA